CGGAAUAUAGCGCAGCUCGGUAGCGUGCCAUCUUGGGGUGGUGGAGGCCGCAGGUUCAAAUCCUGCUAUUCCGA
RNAcentral lists this transfer RNA (74 nucleotides) under Botrychium lunaria (moonwort). Its description in RNAcentral is "tRNA-Pro". It matches the Rfam family "tRNA". Rfam says of the family: Transfer RNA (tRNA) molecules are approximately 80 nucleotides in length. Their secondary structure includes four short double-helical elements and three loops (D, anti-codon, and T loops). The record is from RNAcentral. RNAcentral also lists the same sequence under 2 other names. Lineage: Eukaryota; Viridiplantae; Streptophyta; Polypodiopsida; Ophioglossales; Ophioglossaceae.